Molecule: non-coding RNA, 82 nt
Organism: Geobacteraceae bacterium GWC2_53_11
Lineage: Bacteria; Pseudomonadati; Thermodesulfobacteriota; Desulfuromonadia; Geobacterales; Geobacteraceae
Source: Rfam
GGAGGGAUUCCCGAGCGGCCAAAGGGAACAGACUGUAAAUCUGUCGUCAGCGACUUCGGAGGUUCGAAUCCUCCUCCCUCCA